GACGAACGCUGGCGGCGUGCUUAACACAUGCAAGUCGAACGGAAAGGCCCUGCUUUUGUGGGGUGCUCGAGUGGCGAACGGGUGAGUAACACGUGAGUAACCUGCCCUUGACUUUGGGAUAUCUUCAGGAAACUGGGGCUAAUACCGGAUAGGAGCUCCUGCUGCAUGGUGGGGGUUGGAAAGUUUCGGCGGUUGGGGAUGGACUCGCGGCUUAUCAGCUUGUUGGUGGGGUAGUGGCUUACCAAGGCUUUGACGGGUAGCCGGCCUGAGAGGGUGACCGGCCACAUUGGGACUGAGAUACGGCCCAGACUCCUACGGGAGGCAGCAGUGGGGAAUAUUGCACAAUGGGCGGAAGCCUGAUGCAGCAACGCCGCGUGCGGGAUGACGGCCUUCGGGUUGUAAACCGAUUUCGCCUGUGACGAAGCGUGAGUGACGGUAAUGGGUAAAGAAGCACCGGCUAACUACGUG
RNAcentral lists this ribosomal RNA (468 nucleotides) under uncultured bacterium. RNAcentral's name for it is "partial 16S ribosomal RNA". It matches the Rfam family "Bacterial small subunit ribosomal RNA", at positions 28 to 507 of the family's 1533-position model. The record is from RNAcentral.